Oncorhynchus mykiss (rainbow trout) is the source of this 947-nucleotide long non-coding RNA. NCBI's taxonomy places the organism in Eukaryota, Metazoa, Chordata, Actinopteri, Salmoniformes, Salmonidae. The record is from Ensembl.
AUGUAUCUAUCUAGACUAAUAAACCCAUUUGUCUGUUCAUUCACUUCCUUUAGAUCCAUGAUUGAACACAAAGUGGCACACAAUAUGAAGUACUACACAGUUGAGACUGGCAAUACUUUGGAAACUCAUAUUCAGUUUAUGAGACGACUCAACAACACCACAAGAUGUUUUACGGAAGUCAAGUCUCCAGUGGAGAGUGAUGUCAUCAUGGCUUUCUGUCCCAUCGUCUCCCGCGCCGGGACUGAUAUUGAAGCAGCACUGCAACAGAUUCCAAUGGGUAAAGAUGUCAUUCUGGUAGUGCUGCAUCACACCUUCAACCCAGACUACACUGUACCUUACAGCAGCAGACUAGUGACCAGAAGUGAUGUAAUACUCACAGUGGACUGUCUGUUCCAUGAGAGACUGGGAGGACUACUGGACUGUCCUCGCAAUGAUGCAGCAGUCAGAAAUAUUAGGCAGAAGUUUGACACAGUGGACUGUCUGUUCCAUGAGAGCCAGGGACUACUGGACUGUCCUCACAAUGAUGCAGCAGUCAGAAAUAUUAGGCAGAAGUUUGACACAGUGGACUGUCUGUUCCAUGAGAGCCAGGGACUACUGGACUGUCCUCACAAUGAUGCAGCAGUCAGAAAUAUUAGGCAGAAGAUUGACAUAGAUCCUGUGGCCAGAAAUCGUGACUGUCUAGCUUGGAUUCUAAACGCUGCCAUGACCAGAAGUUGUGGCUUUCUAGCUUGGAUUCUAAACGGUGUCAUGUGGGCAGUGUCUUCAGGCUACAACUACGUUUUCAUUCACAAUCCACAUCCCUCUACAAGGCCUCAUUCUGACAGUCUAUCUGUGAUUCGGAGCAAUAUAAUGUACACAGUGUCUUCAGUCUACAGCUACCUCUGUACACGGCUUUCAUAUGUGAAGCGGCGCUUCUAGGACAAUAAUUAGGUUCCAGUUGGUUCAAA